CACGCGCGCGUCCAGGAGCACGGGACUCUGGGAGUUGUAGUCCUGGCCUCUUGGUUCUGUGACGCUUAGGGGAGCUUUCCCACUACAGCCUCAAACCUCUUGCACCCAGAGACUGUCAUCCUGCAAAGAACACACCACCUCACUAACUUUGGGCUGGAAAAGUCAAACCAAAGGAAGCACUUUUUUGGCUGAAAGGAAUGUCGGGGUGGAGAUAGAACUGAUCUACGCUUUGUACUCAGCAGAUGAUCCAACAAUACACAAGUGAGUCACAUAAGCUCUUGGGACCUGCAUUGUUUACGUAAAAUAAAGAUAUCUUAAAAGCAAA
Molecule: long non-coding RNA, 325 nt
Organism: Mesocricetus auratus (golden hamster)
Lineage: Eukaryota; Metazoa; Chordata; Mammalia; Rodentia; Cricetidae
Exons: 2
Source: RefSeq, a predicted model, not a curated record